Molecule: unclassified non-coding RNA, 256 nt
Filed under: uncultured Dothideomycetes
Lineage: Eukaryota; Fungi; Ascomycota; Dothideomycetes
Description: sequence contains 5.8S rRNA gene, ITS2, 28S rRNA gene
Rfam family: 5.8S ribosomal RNA (bases 1-52)
Source: RNAcentral
AACGCACAUUGCGCCCUUUGGUAUUCCAAAGGGCAUGCCUGUUCGAGCGUCAUUUCACCACUCAAGCCUGGCUUGGUAUUGGGCGUCCGCGGCGGCCUGCACUGGCGGCCGCGCGCCCUAAUGUCUUCGGCUGAGCCGUCCGUCUCUAAGCGUUGUGGUCAUUCAGUGCGCUUGCGAGGCCGGGCCGGCUUGUCGCCGUUAAACCCCCCAUCUCAAGGUUGACCUCGGAUCAGGUAGGGAUACCCGCUGAACUUAA